RNAcentral lists this ribosomal RNA (253 nucleotides) under uncultured bacterium. Its description in RNAcentral is "partial 16S ribosomal RNA". It matches the Rfam family "Bacterial small subunit ribosomal RNA", at positions 524 to 776 of the family's 1533-position model. The record is from RNAcentral.
UACGUAGGGGGCAAGCGUUGUCCGGAAUCAUUGGGCGUAAAGCGCGUGUAGGCGGCCAGAUAAGUCCGCUGUGAAAUCUCGAGGCUCAACUUCGAGCUGUCGGUGGAAACUGUCUGGCUAGAGUCCGGAAGAGGAGAAUGGAAUUCCUGGUGUAGCGGUGAAAUGCGCAGAUAUCAGGAAGAACACCCGUGGCGAAGGCGGGUCUCUGGACAGUUCCUGACGCUGAGGCACGAAGGCCAGGGGAGCAAACGGG